RNAcentral lists this ribosomal RNA (252 nucleotides) under uncultured bacterium. Its description in RNAcentral is "partial 16S ribosomal RNA". It matches the Rfam family "Bacterial small subunit ribosomal RNA", at positions 524 to 776 of the family's 1533-position model. The record is from RNAcentral.
UACGUAGGGUGCGAGCGUGUCCGGAUUUAUUGGGCGUAAAGAGCUUGUAGGCGGCUCGUCACGUCGGGUGUGAAAACUCGCGGCUCAACCGCGAGCCUGCACCCGAUACGGGCGGGCUGGAGUUCGGCAGGGGAGACUGGAAUUCCUGGUGUAGCGGUGGAAUGCGCAGAUAUCAGGAGGAACACCGGUGGCGAAGGCGGGUCUCUGGGCCGAUACUGACGCUGAGAAGCGAAAGCGUGGGGAGCGAACAGG